This 384-nucleotide ribosomal RNA is filed under the name Microsporidium sp. IIIA. RNAcentral's name for it is "SSU rRNA". It matches the Rfam family "Microsporidia small subunit ribosomal RNA", at positions 63 to 405 of the family's 1311-position model. Lineage: Eukaryota; Fungi; Microsporidia. The record is from RNAcentral.
AAGCCGGUGGUGGAGCGGCGCAAGGCUCAGUAACGGGCGACUGAUUUGAUCUCCCGGUGUGGACAACCUCUGUAACCGGAGGCCAAAACACAGGAGGCGCGUGACACGGGCACGGGCGUGCAACCGGCAGGUGCGGGAGAGUAAGGAGCCAUCCCAUCAGUUAGUAAGUAGGGUAAGGGCCUACUUAGACGAAGACGGGUACGGGGAAUUAGAGUUCGAUUCCGGAGAGGGAGCCUGAGAGACGGCUACCAGGUCCAAGGACAGCAGCAGGCGCGGAAAUUACCGAAGCCCGCGUCCGGGGCGGUAGUAAGGAGACGUGAAUACGAUGUGCAGGUAAAAUAUGCACUGGUAACAGGAGGUCAAGACUGGUGCCAGCAGCCGCGG